This is a long non-coding RNA of Cyprinus carpio carpio, 1818 nucleotides long. The record is from Ensembl. Lineage: Eukaryota; Metazoa; Chordata; Actinopteri; Cypriniformes; Cyprinidae.
GUAGGUUCAAGUAAAUGUGUUGUCCUGCUAAAGGCACGCUUGUUUUCUUGUCAUUAUCUCAAGCUGCUGUUGCACAGCGAGCCAGAUGUACAUGUGGGAGUACGCAAACGGGCUAGUGACAAUAGGAAUGCCCCUUUUUGCAUUGCCAUGUAAUCUUAGCCUUUUCCUUGUUUUGAAACCGUACUUGAGCUGGAUUUGAAAUCCUGUUAUAUGGAUUAGUGAACACUUAAACAUUAUGGAAAUUAAAAAUCAGGGAGCACAGAUGUGAUUUUGCAACACACAUGCCUAAAGGAAUGUUUUUAUGAUUUAAUACAAGUUAAGUUCAAUCAAGAGCAUCUGUGGUAUAAUGUUCAUUACCACAAAAAACAGUUUCAACAUCACUUUCUUUAUUAAGAAUUUCGGGUUAAAUUAAGAAUAUUUCAGGUUAAGUUCAGUCAACAGCAUACAUGGUAUAAUGUUAGUUAUCACAAAAAAUUGAUUCUGCUCAAACGUUUUCUUUUUUUUUAAACCAAAAAUCAAGGCUACAUUGAGGUACGUAUAAUCAAAGUAAAUGGCACCAGUAAUUUAGAGGAUUUAAAAGCAGGAAUGUGAAGUAUUGCAAUUUUAUAAAACCACUUACUUUUGUUAAAACUUGAGUUUUAUUUGAGCUGCAAAACUAUUUAGAUCAUAAUUUUUACAGUGAUUUUGGAGCAUUACCUUGUCAUGGCAAUGAAGUUACAACUACAGUUGUAUAUACUGUAACUUUACAAAGAAAAGGUUAGUAAACAAUUUUUCAGAGCAUGUUGUUCAUAUCUUGUGGAUAUACUUUUGAAAGAGCAAAUAGUUUAAUGUAUUCACGUGUUAAAGAAAAGGAAAUGAAUUUUUGUGGAAAUCAACAUCAUGCCACAAUGGCUGUCACUUGUACUGUACCCGGAAUGUUCCUUGAAUUUUGAUGCUUUGUCAACAGGACAGCAUUGGAAGUCCUGCUACAUUCUGAGCAAGUCAGCUCUUGCAGUGUGUAUUGCAAAAGAAUAUUAAUCAUGCAGGGAGGAUGGUGAAAGAGUGUCAUGUCAUUGUUUCCAUUGUUGGGAAAUACCUGUUUUUCAUGUUCUGCAAUCCGUUUUCCUCAUUCAGAGCAAAAGCCAUGACUUCCUGCCAUCUGGGGUGAUUAAUGAAAAGGAUGGGGAGGACAAGAGAUGGAGAGAUAGAAAGCGAGGGAAUGGGGGAAGGGUGAUCGUGACAAAUCGUUUGGGGGUUCUUCAAAACAACACUGGGAGAUAGAUGGUGGCAGUGUGUGUCUUUCAUUAUCAGUGACCCCCUGUUCAAUCAACGCCAGAGAAAGACGGCCACAGUCCAGAGAACAGGGCUACAGGACAAAGUAUCAUCCCAUCAUCACUCAAGUCCCCCUCUCUUAACACAUACGCACACACAUAUCUUCUCAAACACUCACCUCUACCCCUCAAACGACCCCACACACAUUGAUGAGAUUGGUGAGGGUUCUGACCCCAGACUGGAUGUGCCCUCUUACCCCUCAGGAUCCAAAGAAAGGGCGCCAUCCUUGCAGGUGCCAUGGUAACACUGUUGUGGCAGGUCGAGUCUCAUGAACGAUGAUGCUGGUGAUGUCAUCAACCCGGUAGGAGGAGCAUCCCACCAGUUUUCCCAUAAUCACCAGCUGCCUCUUUCCAUUAGCAUUCAAUGCAAUUCCUAUAGCUUUAAUUCCUACCGUUUUUUUUUAUUUUAACACAACUUUCAUCCUCUGCUCUCCUCUAAAAGUGAAACCUCAUCAAGCCCCUUAUGGCAUAUUUGUAGCAAUAUUUCACUGUACUGUGUUUUAAGAAU